AUGGCCUCCUCCUUCCUCUCCCUACGGCUCCCUACCCCCUCCCCGCCCACCGCGACGUCGUCCCCGUUCUUCCCGAAUCCCCUAGUCCGGUCCGGAAGGUGCAGUCCGCUGUCCUCUACCCUCGUGGCGCGUGUUGCCGGGCCGGCGGCGGGGGCUCCGUCGCCGUUGUUCAACCCGAGGGGCGACCCGUUCCUAUCCACGCUAGCAGCUGCUUCUCCAGAGCAGCUCGCGGCAGCUGCGGGUGGCGAACGCCGCGGCGAGGACCACCUGCCGUUCCUCGAGAUCUUCCAGAACGCCAAGCUCAUGUCCUCGCCCGCGCAGGUGGAACGUUCUAGCAGCUCUUACAGUCAGCACAGUCCUAGAAGGCCUCCCCCGGAUUUGCCGUCGUUGCUUCUACAUGGCCGGAUUGUUUAUAUUGGCAUGCCGUUGGUGCCAGCAGUUACCGAGCUUAUUGUUGCCCAGUUGAUGUACCUUGAUUGGAUGAAUAGUAGUGAGCCUGCAUAUAUAUACAUCAACUCAACAGGAACGGCUCGUGAUGAUGGUGAACCAGUUGGAAUGGAGACGGAAGGUUUUGCUAUCUAUGAUGCCAUGAUGCGGAUGAAAACUGAGGUUCACACACUUUGUAUAGGAGCUGCAGCAGGUCAUGCCUGCCUUGUCCUUGCAGCAGGGAAGAAAGGCAAACGAUAUAUGUUUCCCCAUGCCAAAGCUUUGAUUCAGCAACCUCGUAUUCCUUCAUAUGGGAUGAUGCAAGCUUCUGAUGUUGUUAUUCGUGCGAAAGAGGUAGUGCACAACAGGAAUACCCUGGUCAAACUUUUAGCAAGGCACACUGGAAAUCCACCGGAGAAAAUAGAUAAGGUGAUGAGAGGACCAUUUUAUAUGGACUCUUUGAAAGCCAAGGAGUUUGGGGUAAUUGACAAGAUCCUUUGGCGCGGUCAGGAGAAGUACAUGUCUGACAUGCUCUCCCCUGAGGAUUGGGACAAGGUUGCUGGAGUCAGAGGCCCCGGUGGAAUGUGA
This 1014-nucleotide ribosomal RNA is filed under the name Triticum aestivum (bread wheat). RNAcentral describes it as "partial small subunit ribosomal RNA". Lineage: Eukaryota; Viridiplantae; Streptophyta; Magnoliopsida; Poales; Poaceae. The record is from RNAcentral.